This 497-nucleotide ribosomal RNA is filed under the name uncultured bacterium. Its description in RNAcentral is "partial 16S ribosomal RNA". It matches the Rfam family "Bacterial small subunit ribosomal RNA", at positions 29 to 507 of the family's 1533-position model. The record is from RNAcentral.
UAUGCACGCUGGCGGCGUGCCUAAUACAUGCAAGUCGAGCGAACAGAUGAGGAGCUUGCUCCUCUGACGUUAGCGGCGGACGGGUGAGUAACACGUGGAUAACCUACCUAUAAGACUGGGAUAACUUCGGGAAACCGGGGCUAAUACCGGAUAAUAUAUUGAACCGCAUGGUUCAAUAGUGAAAGACGGUUUUGCUGUCACUUAUAGAUGGAUCCGCGCCGCAUUAGCUAGUUGGUAAGGUAACGGCUUACCAAGGCAACGAUGCGUAGCCGACCUGAGAGGGUGAUCGGCCACACUGGAACUGAGACACGGUCCAGACUCCUACGGGAGGCAGCAGUAGGGAAUCUUCCGCAAUGGGCGAAAGCCUGACGGAGCAACGCCGCGUGAGUGAUGAAGGUCUUCGGAUCGUAAAACUCUGUUAUUAGGGAAGAACAAAUGUGUAAGUAACUAUGCACGUCUUGACGGUACCUAAUCAGAAAGCCACGGCUAACUACGUG